This 72-nucleotide transfer RNA is filed under the name Ipomoea nil (Japanese morning glory). It matches the Rfam family "tRNA". From Rfam's summary of the family: Transfer RNA (tRNA) molecules are approximately 80 nucleotides in length. Their secondary structure includes four short double-helical elements and three loops (D, anti-codon, and T loops). Lineage: Eukaryota; Viridiplantae; Streptophyta; Magnoliopsida; Solanales; Convolvulaceae. The record is from Rfam by way of RNAcentral.
GACUUCUCAGCUUAGUGGUAGAGUGCGUGGCUUUUAACCACAUGGGCGUGGGUUUGAUCCCCACAGACGGUG